Molecule: ribosomal RNA, 468 nt
Filed under: Blastocystis sp. subtype 2
Lineage: Eukaryota; Bigyra; Opalinata; Blastocystidae
Description: SSU rRNA
Rfam family: Eukaryotic small subunit ribosomal RNA
Source: RNAcentral
GGAGGUAGUGACAAUAAAUCACAAUGCGAGACUUUUAGUUUUGCAAUUGGAUUGAGAACAAUGUAAAACUUUUAUCGUUAAGCCAUUGGAGGGCAAGUCUGGUGCCAGCAGCCGCGGUAAUUCCAGCUCCAAUAGCGUAUAUUAACGUUGUUGCAGUUAAAAAGCUUGUAGUUGAAGUGAGGGUGUGUGUGUUGUGAUCGAAUCGAUCGAGAGCAGUACAACCUCCCCCUUCCAAUGGGUGUAUUGGGGUAUUCAUUUACUUCAUUACUCCUUUGGUCGUUUACUGUGAGAAAAUUAGAGUGUUCAAAGCGGGCGUUUGUUUGAAUAGAUUAGCAUGGAAUAAUGAUUGAAGGCUUUCGUGUUCGAUUUGAUUGGUUUGUUCAUGGAAGCAAGGUUAAAAGGAACAGUUGGGGGUAUUCAUAUUCACUAGUUAGAGGUGAAAUUCUCGGAUUUAUGGAAAAUGAACAA